GCAGUUGUGCGUGUAUAUAUUAUAAAUUAUUCAAUUCAACAGUCUCCUCCAUUGAUACGAGUGUUACUUUGUUGUAUCAACAUGAAGAAGAAGACGGCUCUUCUUUGGCUGUUCCUAUUCUUCUCAGCCUUCUUGUUUCCUCUCUCAGCAUCAUCAUCAAGUAAGCCCCAACAUUUCAUAAUCUUCAUAUGAUAUAUAUUCAUUCUUAUCUCUCUCUCUCUCUCUUAAAAUUAUUGCAGGAAGCCUCAGUUCAAUCACGGAUCAUUUUCAGGUUCUUCUUCCUUUCCAUUCAUAUUCUUUUCCCCUUUCUUAGUAAUAUCAUUAUUGGAUUUUCUGUUCAGUUUGGUAAUUUAAAUGUGGAGUAGAUUGCACUGGAGACAGGAGAGGAGAAAGAAUUAUACAGAGAAAGAAGAAUGGAUAUUGAAACCAGUGACUAUCCAGGGACUGGUGCCAAUAAUCACCAUGAUCCAAGACCCCCUGGAAGCUUUUGAAUCUAAGAAAAUGCUACUUAUUAUGUAUUUGUACAAAUUAAAAUGAGGAAAAUUAAAAGAAUAAUUCCUCUAAUUCUUGAGUUUCAUUAAUUAUUUUGCCCUCAAAUAUUGAUCUUUUGUACUGUAUCCAUACUUUUUUUUUUUUUUUUUUUUUUUUUUCGGAUCAUUUUCAGGUUCUUCUUCCUUUCCAUUCAUAUUCUUUUCCCCUUUCUUAGUAAUAUCAUUAUUGGAUUUUCUGUUCAGUUUGGUAAUUUAAAUGUGGAGUAGAUUGCACUGGAGACAGGAGAGGAGAAAGAAUUAUACAGAGAAAGAAGAAUGGAUAUUGAAACCAGUGACUAUCCAGGGACUGGUGCCAAUAAUCACCAUGAUCCAAGACCCCCUGGAAGCUUUUGAAUCUAAGAAAAUGCUACUUAUUAUGUAUUUGUACAAAUUAAAAUGAGGAAAAUUAAAAGAAUAAUUCCUCUAAUUCUUGAGUUUCAUUAAUUAUUUUGCCCUCAAAUAUUGAUCUUUUUUUUUUUUUUUUUCCUUUUUUUUUUUUUUUUUUUUUUUUUUUUUUGGAGAA
RNAcentral lists this long non-coding RNA (1053 nucleotides) under Olea europaea (common olive). RNAcentral's name for it is "long non-coding RNA (OEUR_LNC000646)". The record is from RNAcentral. Lineage: Eukaryota; Viridiplantae; Streptophyta; Magnoliopsida; Lamiales; Oleaceae.